AUUGAACGCUGGCGGCAUGCCUUACACAUGCAAGUCGAACGGCAGCACGGGUGCUUGCACCUGGUGGCGAGUGGCGAACGGGUGAGUAAUACAUCGGAACGUACCUUAUCGUGGGGGAUAACGCAGCGAAAGUUGCGCUAAUACCGCAUACGCCCUGAGGGGGAAAGCGGGGGACCGUAAGGCCUCGCGCGAUUAGAGCGGCCGACGUCUGAUUAGCUUGUUGGUGAGGUAAAAGCUCACCAAGGCGAUGAUCAGUAGCUGGUCUGAGAGGACGAUCAGCCACACUGGGACUGAGACACGGCCCAGACUCCUACGGGAGGCAGCAGUGGGGAAUUUUGGACAAUGGGGGCAACCCUGAUCCAGCAAUGCCGCGUGAGUGAAGAAGGCCUUCGGGUUGUAAAGCUCUUUUGUCAGGGAGGAAACAGCAGCUCUAACACAGUCUGCGAAUGACGGUACCUGAAGAAUAAGCACCGGCUAACUACGUGCCAGCAGCCGCCGUAA
Molecule: ribosomal RNA, 501 nt
Filed under: uncultured bacterium
Lineage: Bacteria
Description: partial 16S ribosomal RNA
Rfam family: Bacterial small subunit ribosomal RNA
Source: RNAcentral